AAAAUAAAUCCCCGCUCUACAGAAGCCAUCAGCAAAUAUUUCUUUACACAAGCAACCACAUCUAUAAUUCUCAUGAUAGCUAUCAUUUCCAAUAACCUGUCUUCUGGACAAUGAACAAUAAUAAAUACUAUUAAUCAAUUUUCAUCCUUAAUAAUAAUAACGGCCCUAGUAAUAAAACUAGGAAUAGCCCCCUUUCACUUCUGAGUCCCAGAGAGGACCCAAGGAACUUCUCUAAUAUCUGGCAUACUUCUCCUUACAUGACAAAAACUAGCCCCUAUCUCGAUUAUAUUUCAAAUUUUCCCAUCAAUAAACAUGAACAUCCGCCUAUCUAUCACAAUCCUAUCCAUUAUAGUGGGCAGUUGAGGAGGACUCAAUCAAAUACAACUGCGAAAAUCCUAGCCUACUCCUCAAU
This 412-nucleotide long non-coding RNA is filed under the name Homo sapiens (human). Its description in RNAcentral is "non-protein coding lnc-ELAVL4-2:2". The record is from RNAcentral. Lineage: Eukaryota; Metazoa; Chordata; Mammalia; Primates; Hominidae.